GACGAACGCUGGCGGCGUGCCUAAUACAUGCAAGUCGAGCGAGCGGAACUAACAGAUUUACUUCGGUAAUGACGUUAGGAAAGCGAGCGGCGGAUGGGUGAGUAACACGUGGGGAACCUGCCCCAUAGUCUGGGAUACCACUUGGAAACAGGUGCUAAUACCGGAUAAGAAAGCAGAUCGCAUGAUCAGCUUUUAAAAGGCGGCGUAAGCUGUCGCUAUGGGAUGGCCCCGCGGUGCAUUAGCUAGUUGGUAAGGUAAAGGCUUACGAAGGCGAUGAUGCAUAGCCGAGUUGAGAGACUGAUCGGCCACAUUGGGACUGAGACACGGCCCAAACUCCUACGGGAGGCAGCAGUAGGGAAUCUUCCACAAUGGACGCAAGUCUGAUGGAGCAACGCCGCGUGAGUGAAGAAGGUUUUCGGAUCGUAAAGCUCUGUUGUUGGUGAAGAAGGAUAGAGGUAGUAACUGGCCUUUAUUUGACGGUAAUCAACCAGAAAGUCACGGCUAACUACGUG
RNAcentral lists this ribosomal RNA (512 nucleotides) under uncultured bacterium. RNAcentral's name for it is "partial 16S ribosomal RNA". It matches the Rfam family "Bacterial small subunit ribosomal RNA", at positions 28 to 507 of the family's 1533-position model. The record is from RNAcentral.